This 253-nucleotide ribosomal RNA is filed under the name uncultured bacterium. RNAcentral describes it as "partial 16S ribosomal RNA". It matches the Rfam family "Bacterial small subunit ribosomal RNA", at positions 524 to 776 of the family's 1533-position model. The record is from RNAcentral.
UACGUAGGGGGCUAGCGUUGUCCGGAAUCAUUGGGCGUAAAGCGCGUGUAGGCGGUUCGGUAAGUCCGCUGUGAAAGUCGGGGGCUCAACCCUCGGAAGCCGGUGGAUACUGUCGAGCUAGAGUACGGAAGAGGAGAGUGGAAUUCCUGGUGUAGCGGUGAAAUGCGCAGAUAUCAGGAAGAACACCAAUGGCGAAAGCAGCUCUCUGGGACGGUACUGACGCUGAGGAGCGAAAGCGUGGGGAGCGAACAGG